GCACUGAUGGAUAUCAAAAGGGGUGAGACAGUACAUAACCAUCUUAUUUGAACCUUGAAUGACCUGUUAGCAGAAUACAAGAAUUGAUUUAAUCAUAGAUGGGUAUUACAUCUAUGAUUUAAUGAAAUACUUACGUAUUUGUGUAGCCGUUUAGAAAUUACUGUUAUUGUUUUUAUUUAUAUUUUUCAUCUGUUCUUGAUUAGAUUUAAAAUGCAAAUCAGUGUUAAAUGUUUUAAGAAGACUUAGUGUUUGUUUAACGUGCAUACAUGUUAUAAGUAAACUGAAAACUUAUAGUAUGUUGCUAAUAUAAGAAUAAGAAAAUAAGGUAUGAAUGCCAAUGAGACAACCUCCACAAGAGACCAAAUGACAUAGAAAUUAACAACUGUAUGUCACCGUAUGGCCUUCAACAAUGAUCAAAACCCAUACCGUAUAGUCAGCAACAAAAGUUCCCGCCUUUUGAAAUGACAAAUGUUUCAUAAUCCAAAUAAAAAAAAAACGAUACACAUACAGCAUACAACAUACUUGUAACUUGACUUUUUUUAAAAAGUAAUCGGAUACUGAAAUUUGUCAGUGGCGGAUCCAGAACUUUUCCUAAGGGGGG
This 601-nucleotide long non-coding RNA is filed under the name Mytilus galloprovincialis (Mediterranean mussel). The record is from RNAcentral. Lineage: Eukaryota; Metazoa; Mollusca; Bivalvia; Mytilida; Mytilidae.